This 253-nucleotide ribosomal RNA is filed under the name uncultured bacterium. Its description in RNAcentral is "partial 16S ribosomal RNA". It matches the Rfam family "Bacterial small subunit ribosomal RNA", at positions 524 to 776 of the family's 1533-position model. The record is from RNAcentral.
UACGUAGGGUGCGAGCGUUGUCCGGAAUUAUUGGGCGUAAAGAGCUCGUAGGCGGCCUGUCGCGUCGGAUGUGAAAGUCCGGGGCUCAACUCCGGAUCUGCGGUGGGUACGGGCAGACUAGAGUGAUGUAGGGGAGACUGGAAUUCCUGGUGUAGCGGUGAAAUGCGCAGAUAUCAGGAGGAACACCGAUGGCGAAGGCAGGUCUCUGGGCAUUAACUGACGCUGAGGAGCGAAAGCGUGGGGAGCGAACAGG